RNAcentral lists this ribosomal RNA (433 nucleotides) under uncultured bacterium. RNAcentral describes it as "partial 16S ribosomal RNA". It matches the Rfam family "Bacterial small subunit ribosomal RNA", at positions 29 to 507 of the family's 1533-position model. The record is from RNAcentral.
AACGAACGCUGGCGGCAUGCCUAACACAUGCAAGUCGAACGAGACCUUCGGGUCUAGUGGCGCACGGGUGCGUAACGCGUGGGAACCUGCCCUUAGGUUCGGAAUAACUCCCCGAAAGGGGUGCUAAUACCGGAUAAUGUCUUCGGACCAAAGAUUUAUCGCCUUUGGAUGGGCCCGCGUUGGAUUAGCUAGUUGGUAGGGUAAAAGCCUACCAAGGCGACGAUCCAUAGCUGGUCUGAGAGGAUGAUCAGCCACACUGGGACUGCGACACGGCCCAGACUCCUACGGGAGGCAGCAGUGGGGAACAUUGGACAAUGGGCGCAAGCCUGAUCCAGCAAUGCCGCGUGAGUGAUGAAGGCCUUAGGGUUGUAAAGCUCCUUUACCCGGGAUGAUAAUGACAGUACCGGGAGAAUAAGCUCCGGCUAACUCCGUG